RNAcentral lists this unclassified non-coding RNA (310 nucleotides) under plant metagenome. RNAcentral describes it as "partial contains 5.8S ribosomal RNA, internal transcribed spacer 2, and large subunit ribosomal RNA". The stretch from base 1 to 105 matches the Rfam family "5.8S ribosomal RNA", at positions 50 to 154 of the family's 154-position model. The record is from RNAcentral.
GAAAUGCGAUAAGUAGUGUGAAUUGCAAAAUUCAGUGAAUCAUCGAAUCUUUGAACGCACAUUGCGCCCCUUGGUAUUCCAUGGGGCAUGCCUGUUCGAGCGUCAUUUGUACCCUCAAGCUCUGCUUGGUGUUGGGUGUUUGUCCCCGUCUCCGCGCGUGGACUCGCCCCAAAGUGAUUGGCAGCCGGCGUACUGGUCCCGGAGCGCAGCACAUGUCGCGCAAACGAGUGCCUUGGUACGGCGGCGUCCAUAAGCCCCUCUCUCACGCUCUUGACCUCGGAUCAGGUAGGGAUACCCGCUGAACUUAAGC